This 45-nucleotide small RNA is filed under the name Arabidopsis thaliana (thale cress). Its description in RNAcentral is "ATSL026570". Lineage: Eukaryota; Viridiplantae; Streptophyta; Magnoliopsida; Brassicales; Brassicaceae. The record is from RNAcentral.
AACGAAAUGGUAAAUUGAUGAUUUAAAUGAUAUUUUUCUCGUUUA